RNAcentral lists this ribosomal RNA (468 nucleotides) under uncultured bacterium. RNAcentral describes it as "partial 16S ribosomal RNA". It matches the Rfam family "Bacterial small subunit ribosomal RNA", at positions 28 to 507 of the family's 1533-position model. The record is from RNAcentral.
GACGAACGCUGGCGGCGUGCUUAACACAUGCAAGUCGAACGGAAAGGCCCUGCUUUUGUGGGGUGCUCGAGUGGCGAACGGGUGAGUAACACGUGAGUAACCUGCCCUUGACUUUGGGAUAACUUCAGGAAACUGGGGCUAAUACCGGAUAGGAGCUCCUGCUGCAUGGUGGGGGUUGGAAAGUUUCGGCGGUUGGGGAUGGACUCGCGGCUUAUCAGCUUGUUGGUGGGGUAGUGGCUUACCAAGGCUUUGACGGGUAGCCGGCCUGAGAGGGUGACCGGCCAAAUUGGGACUGAGAUACGGCCCAGACUCCUACGGGAGGGAGCAGUGGGGAAUAUUGCACAAUGGGCGGAAGCAUGAUGCAGCAACGCCGCGUGCGGGAUGACGGCCUUCGGGUUGUAAACCGCUUUCGCCUGUGACGAAGCGUGAGUGACGGUAAUGGGUAAAGAAGCACCGGCUAACUACGUG